Molecule: long non-coding RNA, 539 nt
Filed under: Phoenix dactylifera (date palm)
Lineage: Eukaryota; Viridiplantae; Streptophyta; Magnoliopsida; Arecales; Arecaceae
Description: long non-coding RNA (PDAC_LNC004915)
Source: RNAcentral
GUGUAACAUAAUAAAUGUAUCACCUUGUUUUUUUGGUUCGGAAUCUUUAAUGUUUCCCCCUUUUUUUCAUGAAGGCUUUUUUUGUUGUGUCCUUUGGAAUCUUGAAGAAUUGAACAUCAAACCCAAUCGAAGCAUUUGAUUUACGAUAAUAAUAAAUAUAACUAACAAAUCUCAUCAAAAAGAAUAUAUACACUUAAAUGAUCGAGGUAAUUAUAAAGGACAAUUUAAGAAGAAAAUUGCAAAAUCUCCGGGUUUUCGUAUUGUAGGUCCUAAUCAUCCCAAAGCAUUAAUCAUUUGGAUCUACCUUGGUCCCAAAAGAUGGACCAUCAGAGACAAAAUUCAAGCAUGGCUUCACCUAAAAGCAAUGCAUUAUGUUUUCCUUCCCCCAGUCCACACCCUUCCACUUUAGAAAGCUAAUGUUGCUAAUGUUAGUAGCUUUAAUCAGUUGCAAAUGGGAACUAUCUCCACUUCAGAAAUCCAAGAACAUGUAAUACUCAAACUACCUCUGAUAUAUUCCAUAUAUUUUGCAAGUAUUAAAC